CGCGGCCUAUCAGCUUGUUGGUGGGGUGAAGGCCUACCAAGGCGAUUACGGGUAGCCGGCCUGAGAGGGCGAUCGGCCACACUGGGACUGAGACACGGCCCAGACUCCUACGGGAGGCAGCAGUGGGGAAUAUUGCGCAAUGGGCGGAAGCCUGACGCAGCGACGCCGCGUGGGGGAUGACGGCCUUCGGGUUGUAAACCUCUUUUACCACCGACGCAGGCCCGCGCUUUUGUGCGGGUUGACGGUAGGUGGGGAAUAAGGACCGGCCAACUACGUGCCAGCAGCCGCGGUAAUACGUAGGGUCCGAGCGUUGUCCGGAAUUAUUGGGCGUAAAGAGCUCGUAGGUGGUGUGUCGCGUCUGCUGUGUAAGUCCGGGGCUUAACUCCGGUUUUGCAGUGGAUACGGGCAUGCUAGAGGUAGGCAGGGGAGACUGGAAUUCCUGGUGUAGCGGUGAAAUGCGCAGAUAUCAGGAGGAACACCGGUGGCGAAGGCGGGUCUCUGGGCCUUACCUGACGCUGAGGAGCGAAAGCGUGGGGAGCGAACAGGAUUAGAUACCCUGGUAGUCCACGCUGUAAACGUUGGGCGCUAGGUGUGGGGACCUUCCACGGUUUCCGUGCCGUAGCUAACGCAUUAAGCGCCCCGCCUGGGGAGUACGG
Molecule: ribosomal RNA, 656 nt
Filed under: uncultured Actinomycetes bacterium
Lineage: Bacteria; Bacillati; Actinomycetota; Actinomycetes
Description: bacterial SSU rRNA
Rfam family: Bacterial small subunit ribosomal RNA
Source: RNAcentral